AUCCAGAUGACGAAUCCCAAACAGGAUGAAAUACACAUCCUGAAU
This 45-nucleotide non-coding RNA is filed under the name Trichobilharzia regenti. Lineage: Eukaryota; Metazoa; Platyhelminthes; Trematoda; Strigeidida; Schistosomatidae. The record is from RNAcentral.